RNAcentral lists this transfer RNA (62 nucleotides) under Dolicheulota formosensis. RNAcentral's name for it is "tRNA-Asp". The record is from RNAcentral. Lineage: Eukaryota; Metazoa; Mollusca; Gastropoda; Stylommatophora; Camaenidae.
UUUUAUUUAGUUUAAACUUAAAAUAAGUACUUGUCAAGUAUUAGAUGUAUGCUCAAUAAUAG